ACAGGUUGAGCAAUCAGUAUUAGGGUUCAGAGUCAUGGAGGAAAGAAAGAGGUGGAGAGAAAGCUUACUUUGGAACAGUGGUUUUCAACUUUGGCUGCAUACUGAAAUAACCUGGGCAGCUCUAAAAAGUACUGAUGUCUAGGUCUCACCCUCAGAGACUCUUAAUUUAAUUGCCUUGGUAUGUUGCUAGUGAAUUGAGUUUCAAAAGCUCUCCAGCUGAUAUUAAUGUGCAGCUAAGAUUGAAAACCUCUGCUCUAGAGUUUAAAAAGGCCAAUAUUGUUUUAGGAAAACAGGUGAAGAAUAUUAGUUAGAAUUCUUCAACUUCUCAGGGUCCAAAGUAUACUUGAGUGAAGAAGUGAAAACUUGUAGAGAAGAAAACAGGUUAGGACAAGAAGUUACUUAGACUUGGGCCAGCAGGUGAUAUCAUUUUUACAAGGUGAAGAUGAGAAGAAAGAAGAAUGAAAUAGUUAAAAGAAGCAUAAACUGGACCUGAAGGCAGAAUCAUAAUUCAAAGUUCAGGUAGCUGAUCUAGGAAUGCAGCCUGAAGAAAUCAGCACCUCCUAGAUACAGAAUGAACAGAAGGGCUCAGAAGAAAUAUGAGGACAAAUAGGUAUGCUAGACUGAGGCAGAAGAGGCUUGAAUAUUGACUUCAUCUUUUAAGAUAACUCCCCAGGUAAGACAUGAUUCCAAGCAAUGGAGGAAGAACUUCAUCAGAAAAUGAAGUAGUGGAUAUGUCAGCUGACAAGGGAGGGACACAUAGGUGUGAAUAAGAGGUUGGAGUUUAAAGUAUUUUGUGUCUUCUGAAGCCUUUUAUUUAUACCUGUUCUAAUUUAUAGGGUCUUACUUUUUCUUCAUCAAUACCGUAACUUCCAUAUAAAAGGAAGUGGUGAAGCUAUAACUUCCGUGGACGUAAUUCAACAAAUUACUGCUGGAUGCAGUGGCUCACCCAUUUUGGGAGGCCAAGGCAGGAGGAUCACUUGAGUCUAGGAGUUUGAUACCAGCCCAGGCAACAUAGCAAGACUCCAUCUCUAAAAAAAAAAAAAAAUUAGCUGGACAUGGUGGCAUGCACCUGUAGUCUCAGUUACUUAGGAGGCUGGGGUGAGAGGAUCACUUGAGCCUGGGUGGUUGAGUCUGCAGUGAGCCAUGAUCAUGCCACUGCACUCCAACCUGGACAACAUAGUGAGACGCUGUCUUAAAAAAAAAAGAUAAAAAACCCACACAAAUUACUUGCCCACCCCCAAAGUUUGGGCUUUUUGCCACCUCUGCCCUGAAGUUUAACAGUGAAGCAAUUCUUUAGUACAUUCACAGAAAGCCUCUGGGUAUCAGUUUGUUCUUUUAGCCCAACAUUUGAGGAUAUGAGCUUAUCAUGUCCUCUCUUAUCUACUUAAUGCCACUGAAAAAAGCACCACACCAGGUCUUCAUGUUUUCAUACUUUCUUUGUUGCAGUGUGGCCUUCUGCAUCUUGCCUUCAAUGCUGUGGCCCCUCCUUAGGACCAAUUUUUGUUUUUCAGGUUUUCUAGUCACAAGCAAUAAAACUAAACCAAAUUUAAGCUGAAAAUGAGUUGAUUGGAAGAGAAAUUAUAGAAGCAAUAGAAGUGCUGACGAAUUAAGCUUAGAAAUGGCAAGAGGUAAGGCCACUUGCAGUGGUAAACAGCCUAGAUCAUGCCUUAGAACAGCCUGAGUACUGCUUGAGGCUUCCCAGUCUCUGUUUGCUUAUUGGAGGUGACAUGGUUUUGGUCUAGGCCUCCAACAUAGAUUCCAGCCUGGAAGAGCGCCUUCACCAGAAACCGACCAUGCUGGCACCCUGAUAUGAGACAUCUGGCCUUCAGAUCUUUGGGAAAUAAAUUUCUGUUGUUUAUAAGC
This 1863-nucleotide long non-coding RNA is filed under the name Homo sapiens (human). RNAcentral's name for it is "HSALNT0110600". Lineage: Eukaryota; Metazoa; Chordata; Mammalia; Primates; Hominidae. The record is from RNAcentral.